This 235-nucleotide ribosomal RNA is filed under the name uncultured bacterium. RNAcentral describes it as "partial 16S ribosomal RNA". It matches the Rfam family "Bacterial small subunit ribosomal RNA", at positions 29 to 247 of the family's 1533-position model. The record is from RNAcentral.
AACGAACGCUGGCGGCGUGCCUAACACAUGCAAGUCGCGCGAGAAAAGGGAGCAAUCCCUGAGUAAAGCGGCGAACGGGUGAGUAACACGUAGGUAAUCUACCCCCAAGUCUGGGAUAACCUACCGAAAGGUGGGCUAAUACCGGAUAUGACCACGGGAGUUCCGGCUCCUGCGGUUGAAAGGUGGCCUCUGCUUGCAAGCUACCGCUCGAGGAUGAGCCUGCGCGCCAUAGCUA